Cucumis sativus (cucumber) is the source of this 7535-nucleotide long non-coding RNA. RefSeq lists it as uncharacterized. The record is from RefSeq and is a predicted model, not a curated record. The transcript is spliced from 2 exons. NCBI's taxonomy places the organism in Eukaryota, Viridiplantae, Streptophyta, Magnoliopsida, Cucurbitales, Cucurbitaceae.
UUUUUGUAUUACCAUAACCGUAAUUGAGUUGGGUGGUGGUGACAUUCCGUUUAUAUAUAUUUUUCACAAAUUUUUGUCUGCAUUUGCGAUUUUGGGAAGUCUAUGGGGACUUUUAUUUUGGUGGCUUGGAGUUUUUUUUAAAAGGAAACAGUUCAUAGUACGAUAGAAUUAUACUAUGAGCAAACAAACCAAGGAUCAGGAGGUACUCCCGGAUAUCUCAACUAGAUUGACACCCCUUAGCACCCUCAUCAUAUCCAUACAUGAUAUAAAGAUAAAACAACUAACAAUGUCCGUGUGCAGGGCUAAAAACAGCCAAUACAACCCAAAAAAAACAUAAGAAACUACUUCUAACAAGACUAGAAAUAAAAAAUACAGCGAGACAGAAAGAUUCUGAAACUAUUAGAAAGGCUAUGAGCCAAUUCUGCAGCGUCCGCAAGGAGGGAAGAUAAAGACCUGCCAGUUUUGUAAGAUAGAGAAGUCUUUAAAUUGUGUACUUAGGGAGAACCACAAAGAGGCAUUCAGGCAUGUGAACUCGUAUCUAUCAGACCAAGAGGAGGUUUUAUUGUGGAAGACUCUCAAACCACAGUUCCACCAAAAUUGCCUUGACAGCACUGCACUAAAGCAAGGAAGCAUUUUUCAUCAUAACCGGACCAAUAAGUUUAUGUCUAACAUUAUUCUUGCACUGAUAAGAAAAGGAAACUGAAGAGGUGAUUUUAAAGAGGAAAGAGAAAGAUCCAGCAGUGUCAACUGUUUUGCCCAAUGAAAUUCCAAGAGUCAUUCACGAGUUUAAUGAACCGACAGCUGGGUCAUUUUCAAGAAUUUGAGAGUUAACUUUGUUGCAAACGAAAAUUUAAAUGACAGCCUAAUUCUUUAUCAUCCAAGACAGCCCAACAGUCACAUGGCCUCAUUACAACUGUUCCAAGUUCCUCUGUUGGCAGAGAGCUAUCCCAUGUUUCUUCUGAGCCGUUAGUACCUCCCAUUCUUGAUGUUUCAAAUCACUGCAACCCCUUGUCCGGAAAAAAUUCAAAACUUCUUAUUUCCCUUCCUCCCUUUUGAAUGUUUCUUCUUUAACUUCUUCCUCAGUCAGAUUUACAUCUAAAAAAGGAUCAAGCUCCAACCAAAAGGGAGAAAUGGGCACUUAUUCAAGCCUUUUUCAAAGCACUUUGUUAGAAGAAAGAAAGCAAACGAAACCAUUAAAAAGAGACUCCUUAAGGAGGAGUUGAUUCCCUAGCAGAAUCCUGAUGUUUUAGAAGCUAAUUGUGCUAAAGUUUAAGUUCUCUCUCAAGUUAAUAAGUCAAAUUCUCAAUCCUCUAAUCUUCAAGCCUUUGAAUACUCUAGUGUGAGAUAACAAGAGAGGCACUUUAUGCCAUAUUCCGGUCAUUCCAUCCAAAAAGAAGUGUGAGAUAACAUUUGAUUCUCCUUUUAGUGUGAGAAAUGUAGAAUUUGAAAAUUGGAAAGGAUGGAAGAAAAUGAGGGGUUAUCGCAUUCGGAGCCUCUAGAAACAGACCUUAAUGCUUUGUUUCAAUUGGAUGAAGAUUUGAAAGAUGAUUUGACAGUUCUUGAAAAGUGCUUGGUUUGCCCACUAUCAGUUCUGCCCAUUGGACUUUUAGAUCAUUUGAAAUUGAUAGUAGCUGAUUGCAGAAUAGUAUUGGGCUGAUCCUUCUCAGAAAACUGAGUUAUUGCUUUGUAUAAUUCUCUUGUAUUUUGAGCAUUAGUCUCAUUUUAUUUAAUUAAUGAAGAGGCUUGUUUCCAUUAAAAAAAGUGUUAUUCUUGCACUCUUUACAAAGGACCCAGCUGAGAUUAAUGGUGUGAAAGAGUUUAUUCCAACAUUUGGCAGCAUAAACACAUUCAAACAAGAUGUGCUGGAGUUCGUCAUGCUAGUUGAGGCAGAAUGGGCAUAUCUGUGGCAAAAUAUAACAAGUGGGCAAUUUCUUUUGCAUAACGGAUGCACAAUUUAAAUCUGACCGCUGAAGAAGUGAGUCGGGUAGUGUUCUGUUCUGCCAGCUGCAAGUGAGUUAGGGAUAGAAUUGUGCAUCCUCAUUUGCUACCACCAUCCUCAUUUACGAACCACCUUGCACCAUCAAGAGUUCCGUUCUGCCAUGAACCUCCACUCCCACUGUUUCCAAUUUUCAGCUUGUCCAACCCAAGACCCCCAUGUCCUUGGGAUUUGGUAACCAAUUCCCAUUUCAUUAGGUGAUUCAACUUGCUACCAUUGUUCCCUUCCCAAAAGAAGUUCCUUAUGGAUCUUUCAAUGGAAUUAGAGACUUUCUGGCACGUGGAAUGUGGACAUGAAGUGGGAAGAUUGGAGAGCACGGAUGAGCAAAGGGUAAGUCUUCGUCCUCUUGAAAGAUUCAACCACUUUCAUUUAUCUAAUUUCUGUUGUACUUUAUCUAGAACAGGCUGCCAAUAGCGAACACUUUUUGGAUAUCCUCCCAAAGGAAGACCUAGAUACAUCAAAGGGAGCUUUUCUAUCUUACAAUUCAGCAUGGAUGCCUCUAAGGAGAUCUUGCUUUCCUCAAUAUUAACUCCGCGUAUAGCUGACUUUUCCCAAUUUAUCUUUCGCCCAGAACAGCACUAAAAAAUUUCAAGCAUCUUUUUUAAGUUCACAAGCAUCAAACCUGCAAAAGAUUAAGGGGUCGUCUGCGAAUUGAAGGAGUGGAACAUGAACAUUGUCUUUUCCUACCGUUAGACCUUCAUACAAAUCUUUAAGUGCAGAUUUGAAAUGAGGCUACUACUAAGCACUUAACUAACAAAAAGGAAAAGGAAGGGGGACAGAGGAUCCCCUUGCCUUAACCCACCUGAAGCUUGAAUUCUUCCUCUUGGUCUGCCCUGAUUUCCACCAGCGGACCAAAAUAAAUGCCUUUUCAAGAGCAAUGAAGAAAUUAAAGGGUCAGAUCGCUCUACUUUAUUUGAUGAAGCCAUCACUAUUCCCUUCAAAGUCCCCUCGGAAUAGACUAAGGAUCUGCUGCCCUUAGUCAAUUAUUGUGGCGGGUUUAACGAAAGAUUGAUAAGUCUUACACCCUCUCAUCGAGCCUCAUGAAGUUAAUUUAUUGGAACACUUGGGGCUUAAAUGACAUCACAAAAAGGGCAGCCUUGAAGAAAUUCAUAAAAAUUCAUGAUCUGGAUAUAGUUUUGAUCCAAGAAUAUAAAAUGGAAAUCAACUCUAUCUUUAUGAAAUCAAUAUGGAGUUCUAGAGACAUCGGUUGGUAUUUUGUGGGAUCAGUAGGGCCCUAAAUUGUUCAGAAAUCCUCCAAAAGAAGUCCCCAAACAGGUGCCUCCAGCCUUCGGUUUGCCAUCUCUGUAUGAACGCUAAUGAGUCAUUGCUUCAUCCUUUUCUGCUUUGUCCCUAUUCCUCCUUUGGAUGCUAACAGUUUCUUCUCCAUCUUUGAUAUUGCAUGGGUCUUUGAUGCUUCCCUCGGCUCCUCGGUGCUUCAACUAUUUGAGGGUCCAUCUCUACCUAAGAAGUCUCGGCUCAUUUGGCUAAAUUUAUUAAAAGCUCUUCUAGCAGAAUUGUGGUUGUUAAACAACAGAACUUUCACGAUAAGCAAAGCCCAAGAUUACUCCACUCAAGAUAUUUGUCUCAACUGGGCAGUCUUCCUAUCUCAACCAGUCCCCUAGGCCUGCUUCUGAUGUGGUGUCCCAACUGCAUCUUGAUAUCUUCGUUCGCUUCCUGGCCGCCUUCUAUGGAGCUUAGUUUGAUGCCUUCUUUUGUUUGAACACAGUAGUAGUUUUGUUAUAGAGGCUCAACCCUUGUACUGUACUGCACUGUUUCUGCCCUAUUUUCUUUCCUGUAUUUCUCUUGUUUUUCAGUUUUCUGUACUAGUCUGGACUUAGUUCCCAUUGUAAUGUGGUUCAAUUUUUCUAGUCUUAAUUGAGAUAUGAUUUUUUGGUGCCAAGGGGGUGUUAACCUAGUUGAGAUUUCUGGGUGCAUUUUUGAUCUCCUAGUUUUUCUGCUGUUUAGACUUCUUUAUUACGCUAUUGUAUAAUUCUCUUGUACUUUGAGUUCUUAUUAUUGAUAAAGAAGUUUGUCACCUUUAAAAAAAAAAGGUCCAAUUUGAUAAUCCAUCCCUUUUCUUUUUGGACCUAUAAUCCUCCACAACUUCAGCAAUAAGUAAAGGAUCCAGAAUUUGAUGGCCUUCCAAAAAAGCACUUUAAGUGGGAGCUAUAAUACUGGCCAUAAUUAUAUUGAUUCUCUCAGCAAGCAGUUUUACAAUCAAUUUGUACCGCAAAGUAGUGAGACGUAUGAGCCGGAAAUAUCUUACCUUUAUUGCAAUUUCCUUUUCUUGAUCGAGCAAAUAAAGUUCAUGCAUUUAGUUUCCCUCUCAAGAACUCAUUAAAUAAUUUGAAGAGAUUACCCGUGAGGAGAUCCCAAAAUUUAAUGAAGAAUUCUAACGUGAAGCCAUCUGGAACUGGAGCUUUAUUUAUUUCUUUCCAUUGAUUUUAGUGCUGCUCUUAUUUCCACCAAACUAAAUUUUGAGAUAUGCCAUUUAUUUUGCACUUGCACGAGGAGAUUUCUUACAGAGGGUGUCGUAGAAAUGUGAUCGGGUGUCCUUGAUCAUUAAUAAGCUCGGGAACUAGAUUUCUUCUUCUUCUUCUUUUCUUGUUUUGCAGCAAGAAAACGAUGGAAGAAACUUGUACUUUUGACCCCCAAUUUUAGCCAAUUCAACUAACUUUUCUGGAUUAAAUCUCUUUCCUUCCUCCUAUAAAGAGCUAGAAAAUCCACUGAUCCUCAAAGAAAUAAAAUGAGUUUUCUUCCAACGUAAGUUCUCUCUCUAUAUUUUCUCUUCCACCCUUCCCCCCUUCCGUUCUCUUCACCCAUCCUCUCCGGCAAAUUUUCCAGCUAUCCCUUGCUCCACCUUCACCCUCCGACAUCAUCUUUAGCCCUUCUUCGGCAACCUUCUGGUGUUCACUUCUGACACAGCUCAGUUUCUUGACUGCUAGAUACAAUGGAAGUUGUAAGUUUUAAGAUUUUUCAUUCACACUACUGUGUUUGGAUGGAGAACAAACGAGUCCACUUGGAAGACGUUGAAGCUCAGAUCAUCCUGGUUGUUUCAGAGAGUCAAUUGAAAUGGUAUUCAGACGCCUUACCAGAGGGCCGCUUCUUUAAGAGAUAUGGAGAGUUAGACCGCGGGAGAUUGAAGCUAUCCAAAUUCAGGGCUGCCACCGGUUGAACUCUUUGUUGUGAUCUUUAGCCGGCUUCGGGUGGACGCUGAACCGUUUGGGUUUCCUCAGGGGAAGCCGAAAAGGGGUGGUUGUCUUUCCUUCAGAUGCUGGAAAAGUUCUUUUCGAACUUGGAGUAUAAGAAGUGGUUUUUGAACCACAGCCCCUGAUUUCGUUACCCUCCUUCAAAUCAGAGAUGAAGUUAUGCUGAUAAAUUUAAAUAUCUGGGCAUCUCAGCUUGUGAGCGGAAAGAGGUUGAUCAGAGCAUCAGUAAAGGAGAGAUAAAGAGCCUUCAGUCGCCCUGCUAUGAAAACAGUUUUACAGAACCAGCAGACCCCUGUUUGACACCAAUAAAACAGAGCAGCCUCCAUAAAAGAAAUCAGAACUCAUCCUACUGGAUCCACAAGAACGGGAAGUUUUGAAGGAGGAUUUCAGAAGCUUAUGAGUACUUGAAAAUUUUUUGUGCAUAACGACUGGAGGGACAUCAUUAAAUUUUUAGAGGAACAUUUUCAAAUCAACAUCAGCUUCAAUCCUCUGUUUGAAGAUAAAGCUUUAAUACGCUCAUCAAGUGGAAAACUGGAAGACUUGAUUGAGAAGCCGGGGAAAUCGAAAUGUUAUGGGCUUUUCUACCUUCUAUUUGAAAAAUGGAACAAACUCAAGCAUGGUAGGCCUGAAUUUAUUAGAGGAUUUGGUAGGUGGAUCUCCAUAGAAAACCUCCUGCUUGAUUACUGGACAAAGGACAUCUUCACUGCAAUUGGAAAUUAUUUUGGAGUCCUUAAAAAUAUUUCAUUUGGCACUAUGAAUAUGACCAAUGUGUUGGAAGCUAAAAUAAAAGUGAAACAGAACCUCAGUGGCUUGUUGCCUAGCAACUAUUGAACUGAAGGACUAAGUCCGUGGCAAAAAUUUUCUUAAUUUUGUGACAUUAAGGAUAUUGAAGAGCCUGCAGCUAUUCAGAACACUCUCUUUAUCAGGGAAUUUUUUAAUCAAAUUGAUUUAGUAAGAAUAGAUCAAGCCUUAAAGGAGGAAGGAAUAGAUCUGAAAGUUCUGAAACCGGAAUGGGCAUUUCUCUACUCGUCUCAUUCAAAACCAGAUUUUGCAAGGAAUCCUUUCAGUCAGUCAGUUUCUUAAAUCAGCACAAGCUUGCCCCAGUCGGUGAACCAUCCUCAUCCUACCAGAAUUCUUCUCCUGCCGCAUUAAAAGUUGAAAAAGAAAUUAAAAUUAGGAAGGAAUAUUCUUGCAGAAGUUGAAGAGGUGCCGUUAAGAAGGAUUGAGACUUUUUCGGCUUGGCCCACCUGUCAUGCCCAAAAAAAAUCAGGACAGACCCACACGCAUGAUAUGAAUUUAUAUGCGGGUAAUAAUCCACGGAAAGGAGAACAAAUGGCACCUGGUUACUCCCCAGCCAUUACUUUUUCUCCAAAGAAUCGGCCAUUGCCCAUUGCCCAAUUAGAGCAGUUAAUUUCUUCCUCAAUUGCCGCUUCAGUGCCCCAUCAAAAUUCCUCCCAGUAAAAUCCCAUCCACCUCUUCAUCUUCAGUUUCUCUCUCCUCUACAUCUUUUUCUUCCUUGGCAUGAUCGAAGUCCAAAACUAAAAACAAAAGCAAGUCAAAAACAAAAAAAAUUCCUCCACUUUUUAAACCAUUCCCGAACAAUCUGUUUGGAAGAAAGAGAUCGAAGGAGGUCACAAGAUUAAGAACUCUAAAGGCCAAGCUAAUAUCAGAACAAAACCCAGAUUUGUUGAAGGAAAAAUGUGCCCAUGCCCAUUCCCAUUCUUCAUCUCUCUCUAACAGGUCAGAACCCCAAGCUUCCAUUCUUCCGCAAUGUACACUCUGUUUUCUCCUACACGCAAAUCAAAGGUUGAUAGAGAUGUUGACUCUCCUUUUAGUGUGAGUAGUGAAGAAGACGUUCAGUUUGAAAGAACAGAUGAAAAGGAGAUUCAGCACUCGAAGGAACCCCUGGACACUAAUCUCAAUGCUCUAUUUCACAGAGGAAGAUUUGUUCAAUGAAACACACUGUUCAGAAAUUUCAAUACACCUGAAAUCUAUCGUUGACAAGUGCAAUUUGGUCUUGGCCUAAGUUCUACAUGAAGCUUUUGGGAGGGGCACAAAGGCAGCAAAAUCAAUCACCUUGUUAGAUGGGAAACAGUUACCAGAGAUUUGGUGGAUGGUGGUCUCGGGUUAGGAGGAUUCAAAGCAAAACAUAUGACCCUUUGAGCUAAAUGGGGUUGGAGAUUCUUGGGAGAAGAAGACUCUUUGUGGUUAGCUAAAUGGGGUUGUAGUGAAGAAGAUUCUUGUUGCCUCUUGUGUAACCCUCUUGUACUUAGAGCUACUGUCUCUUUUUUAUCCAUUAAUAAAGAAACCUGUUUCAAUCCGCUGUGGAA